RNAcentral lists this ribosomal RNA (440 nucleotides) under uncultured Caulobacter sp. Its description in RNAcentral is "bacterial SSU rRNA". It matches the Rfam family "Bacterial small subunit ribosomal RNA", at positions 338 to 795 of the family's 1533-position model. Lineage: Bacteria; Pseudomonadati; Pseudomonadota; Alphaproteobacteria; Caulobacterales; Caulobacteraceae. The record is from RNAcentral.
CCUACGGGCGGCUGCAGUGGGGAAUCUUGCGCAAUGGGCGAAAGCCUGACCCAGCCAUGCCGCGUGAAUGAUGAAGGUCUUCGGAUUGUAAAAUUCUUUCACCUGGGACGAUAAUGACGGUACCCGGAGAAGAAGCCCCGGCUAACUUCGUGCCAGCAGCCGCGGUAAUACGAAGGGGGCUAGCGUUGCUCGGAAUUACUGGGCGUAAAGGGUGCGUAGGCGGACAUGUAAGUCAGAGGUGAAAUCCCAGGGCUCAACUCUUGAACUGCCUUUGAUACUGGGUGUAUUGAGUGUAAGAGAGGUAUGUGGAACUCCGAGUGUAGAGGUGAAAUUCGUAGAUAUUGGGAAGAACACCAGUGGCGAAGGCGACAUACUGGCUCGUUACUGACGCUGAGGUGCGAAAGCGUGGGGAGCAAACAGGAUUAGAUACCCGAGUAGUC